GAUGAACGCUGGCGGCGUGCCUAAUACAUGCAAGUCGAGCGAACAGAUGAGGAGCUUGCUCCUCUGACGUUAGCGGCGGACGGGUGAGUAACACGUGGAUAACCUACCUAUAGGACUGGGAUAACUUCGGGAAACCGGAGCUAAUACCGGAUAAUAUAUUGAACCGCAUGGUUCAAUAGUGAAAGACGGUUUUGCUGUCACUUAUAGAUGGAUCCGCGCCGCAUUAGCUAGUUGGUAAGGUAACGGCUUACCAAGGCAACGAUGCGUAGCCGACCUGAGAGGGUGAUCGGCCACACUGGAACUGAGACACGGUCCAGACUUCUACGGGAGGCAGCAGUAGGGAAUCUUCCGCAAUGGGCGAAAGCCUGACGGAGCAACGCCGCGUGAGUGAUGAAGGUCUUCGGAUCGUAAAACUCUGUUAUUAGGGAAGAACAAAUGUGUAAGUAACUAUGCACGUCUUGACGGUACCUAAUCAGAAAGCCACGGCUAACUACGUG
RNAcentral lists this ribosomal RNA (497 nucleotides) under uncultured bacterium. RNAcentral describes it as "partial 16S ribosomal RNA". It matches the Rfam family "Bacterial small subunit ribosomal RNA", at positions 28 to 507 of the family's 1533-position model. The record is from RNAcentral.